Molecule: ribosomal RNA, 322 nt
Filed under: uncultured eukaryote
Lineage: Eukaryota
Description: partial 18S ribosomal RNA
Rfam family: Eukaryotic small subunit ribosomal RNA
Source: RNAcentral
CCCUUAGAUGUUCUGGGCCGCACGCGUGCUACACUGAGUGGAUCAGCGGGUCAGGUUGCGCGAAAGUGUUUCCUAAUCUUUAAAUCCGCUCGUGAUGGGGAUUGACGGUUGCAAUUUUCCGUCAUGAACGAGGAAUACCUUGUAAGCGCGGGUCAUCAUCCCGCGCUGAAUACGUCCCUGCCCUUUGUACACACCGCCCGUCGCUCCUACCGAUUGAGUGGUCCGGUGAGGCUUUGGGAUCUGGGCGGAAAGAGCGUUUCGCUGUUUCUGCCCGGAAAGCUCAGUCGAACCUUAUCAUUUAGAGGAAGGAGAAGUCGUAACA